Molecule: ribosomal RNA, 499 nt
Filed under: uncultured bacterium
Lineage: Bacteria
Description: bacterial SSU rRNA
Rfam family: Bacterial small subunit ribosomal RNA
Source: RNAcentral
AGUGAACGCUGGCGGCAGGCCUAACACAUGCAAGUCGAGCGGCAGCGCGUCCGACCACCCUCGGGUGGUCGGAUGGCGGCGAGCGGCGGACGGGUGAGGAAUGCAUCGGAAUCUGCCUCGUUGUGGGGGAUAACGUAGGGAAACUUACGCUAAUACCGCAUACGACCUACGGGUGAAAGUGGGGGACCUUCGGGCCUCACGCGAUGAGAUGAGCCGAUGCCGGAUUAGCUAGUUGGUGAGGUAAAGGCUUACCAAGGCGACGAUCCGUAGCUGGUCUGAGAGGAUGAUCAGCCACACUGGGACUGAGACACGGCCCAGACUCCUACGGGAGGCAGCAGUGGGGAAUUUUGGACAAUGGGCGCAAGCCUGAUCCAGCCAUGCCGCGUGAGUGGAGAAGGCCUCGGUUGUAAGACGUCUUUCUACGUCAGAACGAAACGGACGAGGCGUUUAAUACUAGACCUGCUAAUGACGGUACCUGCAGAAGAAGACGACCGGACCG